ACGGGAGGCAGCAGUGGGGAAUAUUGGACAAUGGGCGAAAGCCUGAUCCAGCCAUGCCGCGUGUGUGAAGAAGGUCUUCGGAUUGUAAAGCACUUUAAGUUGGGAGGAAGGGCAGUAAGUUAAUACCUUGCUGUUUUGACGUUACCAACAGAAUAAGCACCGGCUAACUUCGUGCCAGCAGCCGCGGUAAUACGAAGGGUGCAAGCGUUAAUCGGAAUUACUGGGCGUAAAGCGCGCGUAGGUGGUUCAGCAAGUUGGAUGUGAAAUCCCCGGGCUCAACC
This 281-nucleotide ribosomal RNA is filed under the name Pseudomonas sp. BNFP3. RNAcentral describes it as "partial 16S ribosomal RNA". It matches the Rfam family "Bacterial small subunit ribosomal RNA", at positions 341 to 614 of the family's 1533-position model. Lineage: Bacteria; Pseudomonadati; Pseudomonadota; Gammaproteobacteria; Pseudomonadales; Pseudomonadaceae. The record is from RNAcentral.